GAUGAACGCUGGCGGCGUGCCUAACACAUGCAAGUCGAACGGAAAGGCCCUGCUUUUGUGGGGUGCUCGAGUGGCGAACGGGUGAGUAACACGUGAGUAACCUGCCCUUGACUUUGGGAUAACUUCAGGAAACUGGGGCUAUUACCCGAUAGGAGCUCCUGCUGCAUGGUGGGGGCUGGAAAGUUUCGGCGGUUGGGGAUGGACUGGGGGCUUAUGCGCUUGUUGGUGGGGUAGUGGCUUACCAAGGCUUUGACGGGUAGCCGGCCUGAGAGGGUGAACGGGGACAAGGGGACUGCGAUACGGCGCAGACUGCUACGGGAGGCAGCAGUGGGGAGUAUUGCACAGUGAGCGGAAGCCUGUUGCAGAGACGCCGCGUGCGGGAUGCCGGCCUUCGGGUUAAGAACCGCUUGCGCCUGUGACGAAGCGUGAGUGACGGUAAUGGGUAAAGAAGCACCGGCUAACUACGUG
Molecule: ribosomal RNA, 468 nt
Filed under: uncultured bacterium
Lineage: Bacteria
Description: partial 16S ribosomal RNA
Rfam family: Bacterial small subunit ribosomal RNA
Source: RNAcentral